This 389-nucleotide ribosomal RNA is filed under the name uncultured bacterium. RNAcentral describes it as "bacterial SSU rRNA". It matches the Rfam family "Bacterial small subunit ribosomal RNA", at positions 28 to 419 of the family's 1533-position model. The record is from RNAcentral.
GAUGAACGCUAGCGGCAGGCUUAAUACAUGCAAGUCGAGCGGUAAGGCCCUUCGGGGUACACGAGCGGCGAACGGGUGAGUAACACGUGGGUGACCUGCCCUUAGCUCUGGGAUAAGCCUGGGAAACUGGGUCUAAUACCGGAUAUGACCUCAUGACGCAUGUUGUGGGGUGGAAAGCCUUGUGCGGCUAGGGAUGGGCCCGCGGCCUAUCAGCUUGUUGGUGGGGUGANGGCCUACCAAGGCGACGACGGGUAGCCGGCCUGAGAGGGCGACCGGCCACACUGGGACUGAGACACGGCCCAGACUCCUACGGGAGGCAGCAGUGGGGAAUCUUGCGCAAUGGGCCGAAAGCCUGACGCAGCGACGCCGCGUGAGGGAUGACGGCCUGG